Molecule: ribosomal RNA, 403 nt
Filed under: uncultured bacterium
Lineage: Bacteria
Description: partial 16S ribosomal RNA
Rfam family: Bacterial small subunit ribosomal RNA
Source: RNAcentral
GACGAACGCUGGCGGCGUGCUUAAUACAUGCAAGUCGAACGCAGUGGGGACGGGUGAGUAACACGUGGGUAACCUCCCAUCAGAGGGGAUAACACUUGGAAACAGGUGCUAAACCGAUACUGAUGGAUGGACUCGCGGUGCAUUAGCCAGUUGGUGAGGUACCGGCUCACCAAGGCCACGAUGCAUAGCCGCCCGGAGGGGGUGAUCGGCAACACUGGGCCUAAGACACGGCCCAGACUCCUACGGGAGGAAGAAGUAGGGAAUCUUCGGCAAUGGACGAAAGUCUGACCAGGCAACGCAGCGUGAGGGAAAAAGGUUUUCGGUUCGUAAGACUCUGGUGUUAGAAAAACGGUAUCUAACCAAAAAGCCACGGCGAACUACGUGCCAGCAGCCGCGGUAAUAC